This 438-nucleotide ribosomal RNA is filed under the name Alteromonadales bacterium HD-O-02-4. Its description in RNAcentral is "bacterial SSU rRNA". It matches the Rfam family "Bacterial small subunit ribosomal RNA", at positions 74 to 510 of the family's 1533-position model. Lineage: Bacteria; Pseudomonadati; Pseudomonadota; Gammaproteobacteria; Alteromonadales. The record is from RNAcentral.
AGUAGCUUGCUUCUUUGCUGACGAGCGGCGGACGGGUGAGUAAUGCUUGGGAACAUGCCUUGAGGUGGGGGACAACAGUUGGAAACGACUGCUAAUACCGCAUAAUGUCUACGGACCAAAGGGGGCUUCNGCUCUCGCCUUUAGAUUGGCCCAAGUGGGAUUAGCUAGUUGGUGAGGUAAUGGCUCACCAAGGCGACGAUCCCUAGCUGGUUUGAGAGGAUGAUCAGCCACACUGGGACUGAGACACGGCCCAGACUCCUACGGGAGGCAGCAUCUGGGGAAUAUUGCACAAUGGGCGCAAGCCUGAUGCAGCCAUGCCGCGUGUGUGAAGAAGGCCUUCGGGUUGUAAAGCACUUUCAGUCAGGAGGAAAGGUUAACGGUUAAUACCCGUUAGCUGUGACGUUACUGACAGAAGAAGCACCGGCUAACUCCGUGCCA